Chelonia mydas (Green sea turtle) is the source of this 647-nucleotide long non-coding RNA. RefSeq lists it as uncharacterized. Lineage: Eukaryota; Metazoa; Chordata; Testudines; Cheloniidae. The record is from RefSeq and is a predicted model, not a curated record. The transcript has 3 exons.
AUGCUAAUUGAACAAGGUAAAUAUUCCAGGGAGUUGCAAAUGGAACAGGUGAAAAUCUGAUAGUAAUGAAAGACUAAUUAUUGGCAAUUUAGUGACUGGAUAUUCUGAGCCAGAUAGAAGGGGAUGAUGGGGAAAGCAAGAAGGUGGAAGAUACUGUCUUUUUCUGUAGUAGCUGUACUGCUGAAACUGAGAGGAGCUGAGAGUGCCAUCUCCUUGGGAGACUGCAGUAGGAGAGAGUCUGUACGAGAAGGCCUAUCAUCCAUCCUAAGCUGCAAAGCAGGGCAAUGUGGCAAACAAAGAGGUGACUUACUGAGCACGAGCCUGGAGCAAUUGCUUUCAUAUGGAAGAUGUCCUCUCUCCUUCCCCAAGGAAGCACUGACAGUCUGGCUUUCACCAGACAGACGGGAUCUGGCUCAAGCUAUGGUCUUGGGUGCCAUCUUAAUUAUCUGCUUUUAAUAUCAGUGUACUAACUAUAAUAUAAAGUAGAUCUGUGGGGAGAAAUGCAGUCUAUCUCACCACCCAGUGGCUUUUAAUUAUGUUUUACUUAUUAUCCCAAGAUCAGGCAUAUUUGCUCUUUUCACAACCCAGAUUUCUCGGUUUCUGAUGACUGUGCCCUUUUCCCUAUCAAUUUACCUCCAAAGGGAGCA